Molecule: ribosomal RNA, 855 nt
Filed under: Corticium boreoroseum
Lineage: Eukaryota; Fungi; Basidiomycota; Agaricomycetes; Corticiales; Corticiaceae
Description: eukaryotic LSU rRNA
Rfam family: Eukaryotic large subunit ribosomal RNA
Source: RNAcentral
GGAUUCCCCUAGUAACUGCGAGUGAAGCGGGAAAAGCUCAAAUUUAAAAUCUGGCGUUCUUAGGGCGUCCGAGUUGUAGUCUGGAGAAGCGUCUUCCGUGCUGGACCAUGCAUAAAUCUCUUGGAACAGAGUAUCAUAGUGGGUGAGAAUCCCGUCUUUGGCAUGGACUACCAGUGCUCUGUGAUGCGCUCUCAAAGAGUCGCGUUGUUUGGGAAUGCAGCGCAAAAUGGGUGGUAAAUUCCAUCUAAAGCUAAAUAUUGGCGAGAGACCGAUAGCGAACAAGUACCGUGAGGGAAAGAUGAAAAGCACUUUGGAAAGAGAGUUAAACAGUACGUGAAAUUGUUGAAAGGGAAACGCUUGAAGUCAGUCGCGUCGUGCGGGACUCAGCCUUGCUUUUGCUUGGUGUAUUUCCUGUACGACGGGCCAGCAUCAAUUUUGACCGUCGGAAAAAGUUCAGGGGAAGGUGGCACCUCCGGGUGUGUUAUAGCCCUUGUUCGCAUACGACGGUUGGGAUUGAGGUUCGCAGCACGCCUUUUGGCCGGGGUUCGCCCACGUACGUGCUUAGGAUGCUGGCGUAAUGGCUUUAAACGACCCGUCUUGAAACACGGACCAAGGAGUCUAACAUGCCUGCGAGUGUUUGGGUGUAAAACCCAUCCGCGUAAUGAAAGUGAAAGUUGAGAUCUCUGUCAUGGAGAGCAUCGACGCCCGGUCUUGCGCUUUGGCAACGGAUCUGAGGUUGAGCAUGUAUGUUGGGACCCGAAAGAUGGUGAACUAUGCCUGAAUAGGGUGAAGCCAGAGGAAACUCUGGUGGAGGCUCGUAGCGAUUCUGACGUGCAAAUCGAUCGUCAAAUUUGG